GGCGAGGCACGGAGCCCCCUCAGGGCGAAGUGGGGAGCCCCCGAGUUUGGGUUUUUCUACGCGGGGGGGCUGCGGGAUCACAGGAAGGUUGGGUUUGCUGUGAGAAGCCCUUCGUUGUGCCGUCCUUUUGCCCGCCCAGUCUGACAGGUCGUAAGGGGAAGCUCCAGAGACUGAAAAAAAAUAAAAAAUCAUCCGUUUUACUGAUCUUCACCUCUGAUUCAUCUCCAUCUGCUAUGUGGAAACCGUUCAUCAGGUCCAUGGCUACGAAUAUGUAUCAGCGUUCAGCAAUAAAUGAUAAAAAAGGCUUUGGGUGUGCAUGUUCACUAUCGCUGUACAACCCCCAAAGCCAUGUUUGA
This is a long non-coding RNA of Anas platyrhynchos (mallard), 356 nucleotides long. RefSeq lists it as uncharacterized. Lineage: Eukaryota; Metazoa; Chordata; Aves; Anseriformes; Anatidae. The record is from RefSeq and is a predicted model, not a curated record.